GCUCCGGGCUGGGGGCGGUUUGGUGCGGGCCCUUCCCAGCCGGGCUGCCCCUUCCCCAGCCCGGCAUCCCCGCUGUUCACUCCCCAUAAAUGAGAACGGAGCUCUUGAACACCUUUAGGGCUCGCCUGUCAUUUUCCUCCGUGCACAGAUUUCCUGUUUUGAAAACUAGGCUGAUAGCUUUGUUGGAGCAAAUAGUAGAAAUGGGGUUCUGUGCUGGCUGCGUUUGGUUGUUGAGGCUCGUUGCCGGUUGGGGAGAGCGCUUGUGAAUGAUUGAUUCACUGAGCCCUCUGUAACUUAGAGCUGCAGCAUUUGGAGGAAACAGCAGGGACAAAAUGGACAGUUAAUAAAAGGAACAACUGUAUGCUGCCUGAUCUAGAGGGCACUUGCUGCCCUUCAGGAACUUUCCUCCUCACAUACGCUUCUUUAUACGGCAAAUCUUUAUCUUCUGUCUCUUUUUUUUCCCCUACCUUCGUCUGGGAAAUGAAACUGGAACAGACAUUUCUGGAAAUGAUGGACUUGAUUGGUGCAUUUGGGAAGAUGCGAUUCGCAGUCAAAAUGAAAAUUGAAAUUCGUCCCUUUUUUUUUUUUUCUUCGUAGUUCAGUAUCUGCAUUUUACGUUUUAUGAUUCUUCAGCUCUUUACACAACCACGCUUGUUUGGUCUGUUGUUUCUGAAUCCCUCAAGUGAUGGCAUCCAUGGCAUCAGAUUGCCGAGAGGUACCCCAGGUACAUCCAGUGUAGAGAUGCAGCUGGGGGUAUCCAGUACUUCGUAACAGAGAGAUGUAAACAUGCAUUAUUUUCCUCUGACAAUCCCUUUCCGUGCUUGGAAGAAGCAGAGCUGUUGUCAGUGAAAUCUGGAGUUUUGGGAGACCUUCUGUUUUAGGGGUUGGCCAAAAAUAAAUUCUGGGAUGAGGAUUCUUUGCUUUUUUCUCCUAGUCAUGCAGGAUGGAUGAGAAGCUGUGAAGCCUUUAGUCAUAACGCUCUGGUCCUGCGUUUUCCUUUUAAUAAAGCAUCCAGUGGGAGAAUGUGACAUAAUUGGUUUCUUGGAUUAAGAGAUCUUGAAAUGGCUGGUGCUACAGAGAGAAGAUGAACCUCUCCAUCAGGGUUGUGGUUUACGUACAGUAAUAUGGUGACAAAAUCAUGUUGUUAUUGCAUGGUAAUCUCAUAUUUCUCUUGCAAGAAAAUGCUCUCUACGUGGUUAUGCUUCAAAACAGGCACUUUUGAGUCUUGUCAGUGGCACAGAAUCUUAAAUCUCUCCUUUCCUUGCAUUGCAUAAUCUGAACGUUAUUCUCCCACAGCAGCAGAAAUGAUGGAAGAAUUGCAUAGCCUGGACCCACGAAGGCAGGAACUACUGGAGGCCAGGUUUACUGGAGUUGGUGUUGCUAAGGUUGGCGCUUCAAAUUCCCUCCCUACCCCCCCAAGUCUCCGUCCGUCAUGCUCCGCACUGGCAUUGGGUCCAUUAAAUAGCGAGUCUUCCAACCAGAGCUUAUGCAGCGUGGGUUCUCUCAGUGAUAAAGAACUGGAGUAUUGUUUAACAGACUCCUGAGAAAAAACAGAAUGACCAGCGGAAUAGAAAAAGGAAAGCAGAAGCAUAUGAGACCAGUCAAGGAAAAGGCACUCCUAGAGGACAUAAAAUUAGUGACUAUUUUGAGUUUGCUGGGGGAAGCGGCCCAGGAACCAGUCCUGGUAGAAGUGUGCCACCAGUUGCCAGAUCAUCACCGCAGCAUUCCUUAUCCAACCCCUUACCAGUAAGUGUUCUCCUGGGGAUGGUGUGGGUGGCACAUUGCUUCUGUUGGUGGCCGUGCUUCAGGCAGGUGAUAAAAUGUUCUGAACAGGAAGGAAAGGUCUCUUGGUAAGUGGUUUCACUUGGUCUUUAAUCGCUUCUCUUUGUGGUUUUUUGUUUGUUGGUUUUGUAUUGUGUUGUUGUGCUUUGUUUUUUAUAGCUGAAACUGGGUUUGGGCACCAAAGCUGAAUGCUUAGGAUCCUGCAGCAGUUGUUAGUCCAGCAAAUGAUGUCACUAUCUGAACUUAAAGCAUGCACACAGUCUGUAUUUUUAUGUGCUGUGUGGAUACAGAUGGCUUGCUGUCCUUAAUAAAAGAAGGAACUGGUUUAAUUGCUGUUACCUUGCACUCUAGUGUGGCUCAUGAACUUCUGCAUGAAGUUGGGAGUAUCAUGUAUGCUUGUGUAGCACCAGUACAGUGAUAUUUCUGAUCUUGAUUUCACCCUUUGGGUCUAAGGAAAGAUGUGCAUACCAUCGUAAUAUUGGGAAAAUCUUUUCCUUCUGUCUGUGCAUGUGGUUUGUGAGGAGCAUUAGCAAAAGCUUGCAAAGAGAUGUGUAUACAAGCACAUCUGUUGGUAUUUUUUGUUUAAAUAAUUCAAUUUUGCUGUCUGAGCAUUUCUGCACAAUCUGAAUAUGAAGGAGUAACCAGUAUUUUAAGCUGUUUUUGCACAAUCUGAAGAAAUUUCUUUCAACUAGCAAAGCAGCAUUCAGAGGCCGUGGUAUUUGAUCUCUAGUUUUGAACAUUGCCAUCACCCCUCUUUAAAAUGUUUCAGUAUUUGUUGAGUGUCACUGAAGCACAGAGCACUGUGGGAGAGGUUAGUACCCCGAAAACCAAAUGCAAAGACUUCACUGAUUACAUUAUUCUGCAGAGACCUUUGCACAUUUCAUGAAUGUGUACUGAACUAAAUCCCAGCUCUGAAUUCAAUAUAUGUUACUAGAUACUGAAACUCUGCAGUGCUGCUUUUAGGGUGAGCUUCAGCUGUGCUUCUAGAUGUCUUCAAUGUCUAUAAGUACAAAAUGUAUCUAUAAUUGAUCAUCCUUGUCUUAUUAAUUCACUAAUACUCCUCCUUAAAAAGAAGUUAAUGAAAGAAAGAAUACCUCCAAAAGUAGGGAGAGCUCUUCGUUCCAACAGCUGAAAUACCCUACAAGUGUUUAUAAUGGGACUACAUGAGUCUUCCUUUGCUUUUCUUCUUCUCUGCUUGUAUAUAUUGAGUAGGUAAAAGUUUGAACAAAACAUUUCUCACGUGGUGAAGGCUGAUAGUACAGUUAGUUUGAGCUAGGUCAGUUUGUCUCUCUGCUUGAGCAGGUGCUCUUUGUGUUUCUUAUCUUCUCUUCUUUACUCUUGCAGCUAAACUUGCAAUGUUUGCAUAUUCAUAACAAACUAUUACGUGCAUUUGUAAGAUCUAUCAUCUUCUUACAAACUGAAUACCAACGGUUUGAGCUAAGCCCUAAAAAUGGGGGGAUGAAUGGAAACUGGAGGAGAUGGAAUAUCUUAUCCAUUGCAGAUGUCAGUGUGGUCUAGGAAGAGAGCGGAGUGUUAAAAUGUCUUUCACAGCGAGAUGAACCUGCUCCAAACCUGGGAGUUAAUGUAUGCUGUUCUGGAAAUUUUCUGCAGUGAGGACUUGCAGAGGAAUUGUAGCAGCAUCAGGUUGUUGCUUCUUGUCUUCAAAUCUCUUGACUGCUUUAAAUUGCCUUGCUUCUCCUUUGAUCAGAAGAACGACGUGCAGGUCUUCAGCCUCUUGCAAGGUCGCUCUCAUAUACAGACGUUCCACUGGGGGAAGAAAGCUCUUGACAUCUGUAACGUUAGGCAGAAAACAUGCUGCAGGUUGCAAUUUAGGUUUUAAGAGAAACCAGAGCCUGAUCUGACUUCUUGCUUUCUCUGUGCUGUAUGCCUGGCCCAGAGUUAUGGCUUGGGGUGACUUAGAUGAGUGUUAUCAGGCUGCCAAAUCUCAGUGGUCAUGGGCUGGCUUUUGAAGUCUGAGUGCUGUAAUCAACAUAGCUCGGAUAACUCUUGUCUUAUUGAACCCCAUUUCUGGAUCACCUUUGGAAAAUGUGUCCACUGUAUGAGAAGGAAGCUGGCCCUUACAGAUGCUCUGCAUCUUUGUAAAGAAUUUUAGGGAUAUGUUAGUGUUUGCUUAUCUCACAAGUGGUUUAUCCCUGCCUUAAUGACAGAAAUGAGGCUACUUGAUAUCUGGAUCUUGGACGUGGUUAGGUUGCUGCAUUUAGCAGUUAUGACUUAGUUUACUUUACUGGGGUAACCAAUUUAUUAUGACAACUGACUGUUAAAAUGAGUCCUUAAUAAACAAAGUAUUGUAACUUCAAGCAGAGUUGCAAUGUACUGUGACUUCUGCAUCUCUGACCUAUUUUGCCCCGCUGGCUCCGAAAUAGAGAUAUUUUCAAAGGAAAGGUGUGUCAACUGGCAAGGAAUUCUGUCCUGUGUGUCCAUUUGUUAUUUUGUUAAACUGUUAACUUCAUCUCCUUUUUGAUGUUUGACAUUGGAACGAACAUUCUGGGAAUCCAGUUGGAAUGAUGAGAACCUCACCGUGCUGCCUGUCCAUUCCAGAGCAGCUGCUUCACUGACAACAGUUUUGGCAGAGUCAGAGAAUCAGUUUUUAAAAAAUUUAAAUUA
Molecule: non-coding RNA, 4407 nt
Organism: Meleagris gallopavo (turkey)
Lineage: Eukaryota; Metazoa; Chordata; Aves; Galliformes; Phasianidae
Source: RefSeq, a predicted model, not a curated record